UUAGUUUCUUUUAUGUCCUGGCAACCGAAAGGAAACUUUUGAGAAGCUGGGUUAUACGCUCUUUUACGAGGGCAACUUAGUUGUCAUAAAAUACAACCAUAACCCCUAAUGUGUGAAAUGGUGGUGAGAACCAAUAAGUGAAAGAGCUAUGCUCU
This 155-nucleotide non-coding RNA is filed under the name unclassified sequences. RNAcentral's name for it is "RT-16 RNA". The stretch from base 17 to 155 matches the Rfam family "RT-16 RNA". From Rfam's summary of the family: candidate division DUSEL4 (Archaea). The record is from Rfam by way of RNAcentral.